AGUGAACGCUGGCGGUAGGCCUAGCACAUGCAAGUCGAACGGCAGCACAGUAAGAGCUUGCUCUUACGGGUGGCGAGUGGCGGACGGGUGAGGAAUACAUCGGAAUCUACUUUUUCGUGGGGGAUAACGUAGGGAAACUUACGCUAAUACCGCAUACGACCUACGGGUGGAAGCAGGGGAUCUUCGGACCUUGCGCGAUUGAAUGAGCCGAUGUCGGAUUAGCUAGUUGGCGGGGUAAAGGCCCACCAAGGCGACGAUCCGUAGCUGGUCUGAGAGGAUGAUCAGCCACACUGGAACUGAGACACGGUCCAGACUCCUACGGGAGGCAGCAGUGGGGAAUAUUGGACAAUGGGCGCAAGCCUGAUCCAGCCAUACCGCGUGGGUGAAGAAGGCCUUCGGGUUGUAAAGCCCUUUUGUUGGGAAAGAAAAGCAGCAGGUUAAUACCCCGCUGUUCUGACGGUACCCAAAGAAUAAGCACCGGCUAACUUCGU
RNAcentral lists this ribosomal RNA (491 nucleotides) under uncultured bacterium. Its description in RNAcentral is "partial 16S ribosomal RNA". It matches the Rfam family "Bacterial small subunit ribosomal RNA", at positions 29 to 506 of the family's 1533-position model. The record is from RNAcentral.